Molecule: ribosomal RNA, 3675 nt
Filed under: Triticum aestivum (bread wheat)
Lineage: Eukaryota; Viridiplantae; Streptophyta; Magnoliopsida; Poales; Poaceae
Description: partial small subunit ribosomal RNA
Source: RNAcentral
GGUGUGUGUGGUGACUGUGUGAGAGAGUAGAACGAGGGCCUGUUCGUCGCGGAGGCGGGAGGGGUGACGUAGCACGGCGGCCGUGUCCCUAGGAGGGAACAACGCGCGACGAAGCCGUCCCUGACGGGGAGACGGAGGGGUCAGGGGUAGCGACGACUCUGCCGGCGGGAAGAGAACGGAGAGGUGGAGGCAGCUGCCUCCGCGUCUGAAGGAGAGGUGGUCUAGGAGCCAGCACCUGAGCUGUACUCUCGACUUCCCGAGGGGAUGCGGAUGGAGGAGGAGGGCGCCCUGUUCUGCGUCUUAGCCUCGCUCGCGGCUCCUCGUGGCCGAUCCUGCGGAACGAGGCUACCCAACCCGCACAGCGCUCGGAGUGGCACCGGUUCAUGGUGUACGAGGUCUCACCUACCAGCUGCGGGAGGGGUGGACCGGUGGAGUGGGCACUGACCAAAUCGAGACUGUCUUAGUUCAGUUAGUUGAUACCCUGUCCAUGUCAUACGUCAACCCAAGAUCACAAAUCGAUGUCACGUCCAUGUAGAAGGAACGAAUCAUAUUAACACUAACAGUUUACAAGGAACUAACGAUCUAAAAACACUUUAGAAGAACACGUAUACACUUCCCUUCGUUCGAACCUAAGUGACCUACUACAUAUGUGUGGUUCACGUGGAGCGAAAGUAUUAUCGUUCGUUGGAGUAUAACUCCAUGCAAGAGAAGCGAACGUCGGAAAAAUUCUCAAACCAAAAAGGUCAAUCAGAGAAGACUACCACUACGAACUAUUCACCACAAAUAGUCGCACAACAGAGUCUUUUAGCGAAAGAGGCCACCAACUAUUAAAAUCGAGAUAUACGAACACAACGUUUGUCGUCUUCGUUGACCUGUUGGUAAACAAAGUAUUUGAGUUUGGUAACUUGAAUUUUUGUAGUGGAAGGCGUCGACCACACAUAGCGUCAACUCACUUUCGUCUAACGGGUCACCCGAAGAGGCGUCACACUUUUAGACAGUCUUUCUUAACUAGUAUCUAUACUAAUAUGAACACUGACGAUGUAGUAUUUCUUGUCUUUUUACCUGUUUGGUCCACUAUACCGGUGCCCACAGAAUCUACCUCACGCGAAAGUUAAAUCUUUCCUCUACAUCGAAACAAUAAUAGGGAACGGAGCACAGAAGGAAAAUUAUAGAGUAGGGACAAAUCACGUAUGGAGAGGAAAGGGAAACAAAGAAAUUAAGAAAACCUAGACGAAAAACUGGACAGAGGUUCUUUUAGAAGUCCGAGAUAUUCCAGGUUCAUCCAUUCUCAACCACUAUAUAAAUAAAUGGGACCCAUUUAUCGUUUAGUUCAUUUAUUCUUUCAGAACAUGUAGAGUAAAACCUUUAAAGUCUUUACUAGUUCUCCACUUCAGGUGAAACUAAAAAUGGAACACGUCUGAAUCCAAACAACAUCCAGGAACAUCAGUAUCAAAAGAAAUUUUUUUUAGUAUGUAGUAGCUUGGUACGACUUGAGUGUACAUGUCUCAUACAACAGUAGUAGAAUGUAUCGUAGAAGAUAUUUAGCAUGUGUUUUAAAGCCUUAGACUUGAUGUGUUGAAACUUUGUUUGAUUUUUCAAUAGUCGUAGACGUGAUUUGUAACCAUUCAAUCGAAAUCCUCUUUGUAUGAGUUUCUUAUAGACUCAACCGGUAAUAAGUAGAACUGUCAUUCCGUGCUAUCAGUAAUUUAAGCAUAAUGCUAAGAAGUACGGUUGUGAUGUUGGAUGUUGUCAUUUAGUAUAUAUAUUGAUACAGGCUUUGAACUGUAGUAUGUUACACCUUCUUCCUUAAUUUAACGGUUUGUAUAUAUGUAUGGAAUGAGAAAUUGACGCAAAUGAGCUAACGACUCAGACUACUUAACGAUGUAUUUAUCGGGUUUACUAACGGACCGGUAUACAUUACAACCAUUUGUAUGUUACAUUCAUGGUCUUAAGCUAGUCUUAUUUUGAAGCCGUUUGGUUGUAAAUCAAUAAAUUUAUUUUCAAGUGGAAUAACUCAUGUCUUCACCGUGAACCUAAUUCGUAAACUUUUUGUAAUUACGUACCAUGGGUUAUGGUUAACCGUCCGGUUGUAUAUUCUUGUUUAAAACGAAUUAACAUAAAGUCUAUAUAUCUCUUCGUACAUGACUAAAAAUAAACGUGUUUUACUAAUCAGCAUCUAACAGUAUCUCUAAAACAUCAGUAAAGUAAGUUUACCGAAUUUUGAUUGUAUUUUUACACCGUUAGGUAACCGUGUUUAUCUGAAGUAUGUCAUGAGAGUUCAGAUGUUAUGUUAUGGUUAACCGUUCGGUUGUAAGUCUCUUCCUAGAUGACUUGAAUCCAACAUCUUUAAGUCUCUUCGUACAAGACCUAAAUCGUUCAUCUUUAAGUCUCUUCGUACUCACCUCCUCGGCUAAGAUGGCAAAGCACAUACAACAGAUAGAAAAGGAUAAUAAUCAACCCUACAGUGAAAAAGACAGAAGGUACGAGUCCCAGAAAACUAUAUCUUGAACAACUGAUAGAGUGAAGGUACGAUGUUUUCUAUCCGUAGAGGAUUUAAUACAAACGAUUAAGAAAGUAAAUCGGUUCAACCUACAGUCAGGAGGGUUAAUACACGAAUAUAUUAUUGUCUUGUAUAAUCUCUUAUCUCUAUAAAAGUCACUGUACGUAAGACAAAGUACGUUUCGUGUAUUUGAGAUAUAAUAUCCGGUAACGUAAAACAAAUGAGCCAUAUAAUUCUUUAUCCUCAUGUUAACAUCAGUACAAAAAAAUACAAUGAGAAACAUAAAUACUUAAAACUGGGUUUAGACGGUGCUCCACUUGAAACUGACUACAGGCAGUAAAACCAGUUAUAAAUAAAACAACAGAGUUAGCGUCGAAGAAGAUUAAUGCCAUGAGGAUUAUUAACUUAUACACCCCUCUCAGUCACAAGGUACUUUGGUCUAACGAAAGGAACGAUGUCUCAUACUCGGUGGAUCCAAACAAAGGGCAGUCGAUUGAAGGAUGCGUUUCGGCCGCCGAACUACAACUCCAUUUCAGAAUUUCUUUUAAGACUAGCUUCGAACAUGGACUAGUUUCAAACUACCGAACCACCGCUCCCGCAGUUGUACCGCUGCCGCCGUCGGGCGCGAGCGUAGGCAACCAGUCGUCUCCUCUCGUCGUCCGCCGGUGCCGCGGCGCGCGAGUGAAGGCACCCGGUCGUCUCCACUUCGGCUGCCACCGCGGCCUCUGAGAGCGAGGCAGCGAGCGUAGGUACCCCGUCGCAUCCUCUCCGUUCACCGCUGCCGCCAGACACGAGCGCAGUAACCCCGUCAUCUCCUCGCCUACCGCCGCUGACUCAGGGCACAAACGCAGACACCCCAUCGUCUUCUCCUCGCCUGUUCCCUGUUGCCGUCACAGCUAGGCGCGAGUGCGGGUAUCCGUCGUCUGUUGUCUCCUCCUCGCCGCCCGCCACCGCCGCUAGACGCGUGCGCAGACACCCCAUCGUCUCUCUGCUGCACAACACUCCCGUUUCUCUUUUAAUGCCCUAUCUUUGGGGGAUAGGUGCAAUUCACUCCCGCUUGGUCACACGGCCCGUCAGACGAACCGUCUUGUAAAUUAGACCCUGCAAGUACACGCACCGUCUGGGAACUACACUAUACCUGAUAAUCUACGAUAAAUCAACCUAACUAGAUUGCG